CCCAGUGUGCCCGAAGACCCCCGCAGAUCCCUCCCCCUCCAGAGGCCUGGCCUCCCUCUAGUUGGGUGGACGAAGAAGGAGGUGGUGCCAGCAGGGGGUCACAUCAGAACCCGUGACAGACACCCCGUUAUUCUCAUGCAAUUCGCCAACCAAAAACUGUAUUUCUUAUACUGCCACCAAAUUGUCCCUUGCUUCUAUCAGCCUUGCCAAAACUCACGUACUGAUGGUCCUCAGGAAAUUACAGUUUUUACUGUGUCGUCUUUCACUGGGAGUAAUUUUAACAAAUUCUUCCAGGAUAGUUUAACUUUUAGUAGAUAAAUCAAGCUCGGUGUCUGUAUUUGUUUAUUUGUUUAUGCUUUGUCAAACAGAUGACAGCUUUGGGGGUUUUGACUGGCGCACGCUGAUUCCUGCGACCCUGUACUCGGGGGUCUGGAGCCUUAGCUGGGCACCCUUCCCCAUUUCUGAGGUCCUAUGACCCACCUCCAUGAUUUGAAUACUGAUUUCACUUUUUCCCUCGGUUAAUUUCGAAAGCUCUUCUAACAGCCAUGGAAUCAACAAAGCUGGGGAAUAUUUGUUGACGGUCGUAGGAGAUGUAUCUCAGCACAACUGAACUGGGUCCUUCAGCCAGAGAACAACCCUUUUGCACAGAGAGUAUCAGGGCUGAAAGGAACAUCCAAGUUUAUCUGACAGCUAGAUCGAACCCGCCUUCCUGAAGACCGCUGUCGCUGCAGAUGGCUUUGUGUGCCCCUGGGCCUCCGUCUCUGGGUGAAACGCCGCCACAGCCCACAAGACCAUCGCUGGACUCCUCGCCGGCCGCGUGGCCUCACUCUGGAUGCGACCCAGGUAGAUGAACUGGGCACCGACUGUGAACGGAGCACUGGCUGGGCGCUGGGGAUGUGAUGGUGAACAAGGUCGCAGAUCCGCCUCCGAGAACUCGCCGUCUAGUUAAGGACGACGUGCUAAGGGAAAGCACGUAUGUUCCGUGGUGUUAGGUGCUGGGCGGAAUGAUAAGCACGUAAUGAUAAAUAUUACACAGGUAACAUGACGACACGUACACGUCAUGGGACAAGUACACGUCAUCAGGGAGGGAAGAGGGGGGUAGGUCCCCGGACAGGAGGGGUCCUCGUAGCAAAGCAUCCAAUACCCUCGAUGACUCACUAUUCCAGGUGGGCGCGUCCCUGCUCCACCUUCAGGGACCCUGAUUCCCCGAGUCACUGCCCUGCUGCCCCCUGAGAUAACGUCUUCGUGUGUAGAGUUGAGGCCGGUCGCGGGCCUGUCCCGGGUCCCGCCUGUGGGAAAGGGGGAAAGACAGCAAACCUACGGCAAUCGUCUCCUUUGGGGCAAGCGACAAGUCACACAAGUUUGUUCUCUCGCAAAUCUCGCGUGGGCACCGAGUCACGUGGCCGCACCGGGCCACAAGGGGAGCCGGGAAAUGUAGUCUUUGUGGGGAGACUAGGUGACCAGAACGAAGAAGAGAGUGGACUGGCGCGGUCGGGGGGAGCCACCAGCCCUCACGUGGUCUGUGCGAGGAAACAAGUGGGGAUUUCUUAAUAAGGUAAGCAGGGGAGCCCUCCUUGGGGGUGACUUCCAAGAAAAGACCUGGACAAGGUGAAGGAGUGAGCCAUACAGUUUUCUGGGGGGAAAGCAUUUCCAGGCAUCAGAGACACAGAGUCCCUGUCACCUGCAGGAAACAGGAGGGACGUCUGGGGGGCUGGAGUCGGUGGAUGGUAGGGAGACUGGGGGACUGAGGUCGCAGAGGUGGCCUGGCCGAGGUGGCCUUAGAGUCCUUGGCCGUGACCCGGCCUUUCCUCUGAGUGGGCACAGGCCACGGGAGGCUUGUGAGCAGGGAAGGGACGUGAUGGGCCUCGCAUUGUGCCAACCCUGUGUCCUGCAUGUGGUCCCCCCUGCUCCCUCCCGAGCCCUCUCGGGGCCCCCAGGCACCUGCAUGGCCCUCACCCCCUAGACAUCACCUCCCCCACAGAACCUUCCAUCCACUCUGCAAGACUGCACGGUGUUGGGGGGGGGGGUUGCCUGCCAGGCAUUGGGGCAAGAACAGGCCUGCCUGCAUGGUCCACCUGUGGCUGAGCACACAGUCUGGAGCACAGAGGGGCAAUCAGGAUGUUUCUCUGAAUUAAUUAAUUCGUAUUAGAAGGAGAUUCCUUCCCGAGACUGACAACCCGAGAUGAGCCAACUGACCUCCUGUCUUCUCUGUGGGUCUCCAGAAUCCUGCACGUCCAGGAAAACACACAACCGACCACAGCCUAAGAGCUCAGAACUUGCUAGAACACUACACGGAUGUUGUGUGUGAACGUGGAUCUAGAAUUCUCAAAGCGUCUGAUGCACCUGCCAGCACCCUCAGGGAGGAGACGAGCUGUGGCCUGGGUGGGGACAGUCACCUCGCACACAUCCUGCCGCCCGUGCGAAGUGUCUGGUGGGUACUGCUCGGAACGGAGGCUUCGGGAACGGAGAAGAUGCAUCCUCGUCUUCAACGAGUCUAUAGUCUGCGGAGACAGCUGACAAAUAAGUCUGCGAUUAACGUCACCGGGCAGGUAUGGGAAAGCACAGAGGAGGGGGUGUCCUGGCAACGGACCCUGGAGGUGACCCCGUAAGUCAUAUGAACGUGUGCGUGAGGGGAAGGAGGGAAGAGGGGUUCAGGGGUCGUCCCAGGCGCAGGGAGCAGCCCUCGUGAAGACCGGGGGGCCGGUGGGGGUCGGGGUGGGGCAGAGACCAAGGAGAGAACUUAGAAAGCAGGCCGAGAAGCGGCACGGAAAGUUCCGUAGUGAGAGGGCUCAGUGAGGCGUGCAGGGGAGCUGGUGUGUAAGACAGAGAUGGGUGUGUGUGCGGAAGCGGGAGUGACUUGGGAGGGGCCGCAGAGACGUGGAGACCCCAGCAGCACCAUCCAUCGCAGCACGGCGACGACCACGGGCACCGUUUUCACCCGUCAGACCGACUACGGAUGCACGUCUGACAACAUCAGGUGUUUCGUGACGACGCAGGGAGAGGGGUCCCGGAUCCCGCAGGGAGGACUGAGAAUCGCUGUGUAUUAACCGUGUCUUUGUCUUCUGUGCUGAUACAUAGACACUGGGCCCUUGCCGGCCCCAAACAUUAGGAAGGAGACGAUGUCAGUGCCCGCCCCGCAGGACGCAGGACGGACAGAUCACACCUGGGAAGUGUCCAGACAAGCAGAUCCGGGCACGUUCGCCGCAGGCGCUUUUGCGACGGCGGAAAAUCGGGAACAGCCUGGCGAACGGCAUGACUGCGGUGUGGGCACCGGGAGGGUCGCUGCAGCCCCAAGGGGGGGGUUCGUCUCCACGUGGGAGCCCGGGGUUGAGUAAGAGGGGCAACUCGUGGAACCAGGUGUGCGGCGAGAUGUGAUUUACGGGGAAACAGUACCGCACAUUUUCUGUGGAAAAACGUGAGCACCGAAGAAGAGAGAGACGUGAUGGACGGCAGACAGGGUCGAGUCCAGGUCAGCGAGAGCAGGUGGAGUCAGCGGGGAGAGGUGGUCCGAGGUACUACCGUUGUAUUUCUAUGACUUUUAUUUUGUUUUCAUUAUUUAAUUUAAUGUAUUUGGAUUUUUUUUUUGGUUAUUAUGGAUUGCUUAGGUGAUUAAAAAUUUAUCUGAGAUGCAGAAGGUGGGGCGCCUGGGGGGCUCAGGGUGUUAAGCCUCCGACUCUCGAUUUCAGCUCAAGUCAUGAUCUCGUGGUUCGUGGGAUCGAGCCCCGUGUCAGGCUCUGCAUCGAGCGUGGAGCCUGCUUGGGAUUCUCUCCCUUUUUCUCUCAAACAAAUUAAAUUGAAAUGAAAAUGCUAACCCGGUUUGCCACUUGGCAAAAAGUCAACCUCUUCGUCGGGCUGUUGGGGUGGCGGCUCUCAUCUCUCCAGAAGUUUCCCACCCCGACCACAUCCCCAGCAGCUGGUGGUUGUUCUCUCCUGGUAACUAGAGUAGGGUCGCCUGCCCACCGUGGCAGACGGGCUGACCCCGUACUGGGCCAGCAUCACUCCCGUAGCUCUACCCCCGCCCCCAGUGCGGGGCAGGCGCUGACGCGGAGGGAGGUACGGGGACGGCGGGGUGGAUCGUCUGCUCCCCGGUGUUCAUUCCGGAGCUCGGGCAGAAGGCGACUUUGUUGUCCGCAGCACAUGGCUUUCCAGAGCCUCUCGUAAGACUCACAGAUGGCAGGACCCAACACCAGUGACGCUCAGAUGAAGGGCAGGAUUCUUUGUUACUUAGAGCCAGAAAUGGGAGGUUGUCGGGCAGGGCCCUGGGGGCUGUGCCCAGGGCAGAGUAACAGCAAACAGGGCUCUCGGGCGCAGCUAAGGUGCGUCAGGUGGGACAUGCUUAGCUAGGUCCCGUGAGCUCCCUGAGGACUGGAUAAUUUGCAUAAUUUUGGAGGGCUCUGGGGUGCAGGGGUUACCCCUGGGACAAUUAGGGGGCAUGCACAGUGACCCAGAGCGUGAAGGAAGGGGUUGGGGUGUGGACCAAAUCCACUGCUCAGGAGAACCGGCCAGCCCUGGGCCAGGGUCUCAAGACUGGGUCAAAACAGCACAAUCAGAACAAAUGUUUUCACAUCCUCCCACAGGGGAGGGAGGACGAGGCUCCGGGGCUGUGCUUAGUGUGACCUCCUCUCUUCUGCCUACUUUCCACUGAGGUCGUGUGGCCAGCGAGUCACAGGGUCCCACAUCGAUGCAGAGGGACCUGGAGGAAUUUGCGGAAGAGAAGGAAAACUUGGGUUUCAGUGGGCGAAGAGCCUGCUAGGCUGAAAGGCUGUGAAUUAACCUGAACUCACCCAUUUCUUUGCUUCUCUCCCCCCCCACCGCUUCCUCUUUGCUUCUCCCCCCUCCUUUGCUUCUCCCCCACCGCUGCCCUCU
Felis catus (domestic cat) is the source of this 4866-nucleotide long non-coding RNA. RefSeq lists it as uncharacterized. The transcript has 3 exons. NCBI's taxonomy places the organism in Eukaryota, Metazoa, Chordata, Mammalia, Carnivora, Felidae. The record is from RefSeq and is a predicted model, not a curated record.